This 487-nucleotide ribosomal RNA is filed under the name uncultured bacterium. RNAcentral describes it as "partial 16S ribosomal RNA". It matches the Rfam family "Bacterial small subunit ribosomal RNA", at positions 27 to 507 of the family's 1533-position model. The record is from RNAcentral.
GGACGAACGCUGGCGGCGUGCUUAACACAUGCAAGUCGAACGCUGAAGGCCUGGCUUUUGUUGGGUUGGAUGAGUGGCGAACGGGUGAGUAACACGUGAGUAACCUGCCCUCUUCCUUGGGAUAACGCCCGGAAACGGGUGCUAAUACUGGAUAUUCACUGAUCUUCGCAUGGGGGUUGGUGGAAAGGUUUGUUCUGGUGGGGGAUGGGCUCGCGGCCUAUCAGCUUGUUGGUGGGGUGAUGGCCUACCAAGGCUUUGACGGGUAGCCGGCCUGAGAGGGUGACCGGUCACAUUGGGACUGAGAUACGGCCCAGACUCCUACGGGAGGCAGCAGUGGGGAAUAUUGCACAAUGGGCGAAAGCCUGAUGCAGCGACGCCGCGUGAGGGAUGGAGGCCUUCGGGUUGUAAACCUCUUUCGCUCAUGGUCAAGCCGCAACUGUGGGUUGUGGUGAGGGUAGUGGGUAAAGAAGCGCCGGCUAACUACGUG